CAAUAGCGUAUACUAAAGUUGUUGCAGUUAAAAGACUCGUAGUUGGAUUUCUGGUUGUUCAAUUCGGUCUGCUUCGCAAGGAGUGUGUACUAGAAUUAGAUGGCCAUCCUCGAAGUUUUGUGUAUCUGGCAUUUAGUUGUCGGGUAUAUGAUCUUCGUCAUUUACUGUGAGUAAACUAGAGUGUUCAAAGCAGGCUUAGGCCGUUGAAUACAUUAGCAUGGAAUAAUAGAAUAGGACUUUGGUUCUAUUUUGUUGGUUUCUAGGACCGAAGUAAUGAUUAAUAGGGACAGUUGGGGGCAUUAGUAUUUAAUUGUCAGAGGUGAAAUUCUUGGAUUUAUGAAAGACUAACUACUGCGAAAGCAUUUGCCAAGGAUGUUUUCAUUGAUCAAGAACGAAAGUUAGGGGAGUCGAAGACGAUUAGAUACCAU
Molecule: ribosomal RNA, 428 nt
Filed under: uncultured eukaryote
Lineage: Eukaryota
Description: bacterial SSU rRNA
Rfam family: Eukaryotic small subunit ribosomal RNA
Source: RNAcentral